AAGGAAGUAGUCCAAAUUCUUCAUCUUGUGGUAUGCAGCUUUGUUGGAGAUUCUGUCAGUGAAAGAAUACUUGCAUCAAAGAGACCAUGGCCACCUCAAGGCUAAUGUCAAGAUCUCCAAGAGAUAUUGCCAAUGUCAUGCAGAGACUUCAAGAUUUCUACAAGACAGACUAAAACCAGCAUGGUUUCCAUUGCAACUUUUGGUGUGUCUUCAAAAGCAGACAUAGACUUCUGGACUGUGGGACUUAUGAACUUCACUCCUGUGCAAGGUACUCGAAGAGGCAAAAGAUCUACCCUGAACUAGUUCAUGUUAAUCUUUUGCUUGACU
Molecule: long non-coding RNA, 327 nt
Filed under: Crocodylus porosus (Australian saltwater crocodile)
Lineage: Eukaryota; Metazoa; Chordata; Crocodylia; Crocodylidae
Description: lncRNA (ENSCPRG00005018124.1)
Source: RNAcentral